AAUGGUGAAGAGCUCAUUUGCAGAUUAAAGGCAAAUACCACCAUGCUCAUUAAUAUAAACUUAAGGAAUAUUCCUAGGAUGAUUGCUUUUGAGACAGGUCUUGCUGUGCAGCCCGGGGCAGCAGUUCUCCCAUCUCAGAAAGGCACUGCACUUGAGGUGAGCACAAUUAGACUAAGCCCCUGGGGCUGGUUUUUAUAAAGCACCAUCUGGCACCUUUAUGGAAACAGUGAGAAAGAGGCAGGUGCUAGAAUGGAAGCAGAGAGGCCUUGCAGGAAGCUUGCCCAUCACUUAGACUGUAGAACAGUCACUUGGUCAUUUCCAGUCCACCAGCUCCACUGAGGAUUCUGGGUGUUGGCUUCAAUAUUAAUCAACUAAAGGACUUAGGCAAGUUCUUUUUUGGUUUUUCUAGACAGGGUUUCUCUGUAUAGCCCUGGUUGUUCUGGAACUCACUUUGUAGACCAGGCUGGCCUCGAACUCCCGAGUGCUGGGAUUAAAGAAGUGCCCACCACGCCCAGCAGGCAAGAACUUCUAUCUCAAGUUUGUUUGUGUUGAGACCCACCUAAGUCAGGGAGGAAAAGCCAGGCAACUCACUGCCUAGGUAGGGAGUUGGCCCACAGUAAUGAUCAAUGGUUAGCUCCAAUAAGCUGGACUUCACUGCAAAGCCUGAGAUGGAAGUCCUGGAGACUCUGAGUCUCAACCUUCCUAAUGCUUUGACAGUUCCCAUGAUGUGGUGACCCCAACCAUGAAAUUAUUCCUGCUACUUCAUCACUGUAAUUUUGCUAGUUAUGAAUCACAGUGUAAAUAUCUUUUGGAGAUAUAAGUUUGUCAAAGGGGUCGCGACCUACAGACUGAGAACUACUUUCCUAGAGCGGUUCCCCCCAGGAAGCCAGCAUUCAAGGUUCUAGCUUCUAGCAAGGAGUGUGACAAUACUCUGUUAACCCAAAAUUCCUGUCUUAGAAUGCACUUGAGACCCAGACUAUGCAGUGCCACCACAGGUCUGGGGUUGCAGAGAUCUGAAAGUGUAAGUUUUCCUGCGGGUCACCGGCUUCCCUUAGUGCGAACAACAGAAAAGGAAGGAGCCAUAAGAACCUCGGAGAAUUCCUACUGGCUAGCCCGGAGGGGCGGAGCCCGACGGGUGGCCCGCCCGGAAGCGCGCCGGCGGGAAGGCAGCACAGAGCGCGCCUAGACUGGCGGGGAGAUCAGCGUGGCAGCUUCUAUCAGCCUUGCCUAAGCAGGCUUGCUUGGCAAGCUGGGACAUGUCUGGUCCCCGAGGACCUUCCAUGGGUGAUGGCUGCAGUGUUGGAGGGGCAGGAGCCGGAGGAAACUGCAGCUGCUGCAGAGGAUGCUGCAACAUCCACCUUGGAGGCUGUGGAUGCCGGGCCUGGAGCACCUUUUCUCCCGGCUGGGAACCAGUUGAACUUGGACCUACGCCCAGGGGGCUGCCAUCGGCUACAGUACCUGUGUUCCCAGCAGCCCCCACAGCUGCUGCAAGUGGAGUUUUUGCGGCUCAGCACCCAUGAGGACCCUCAGCUGCUGGAUGACACCCUAGCCAAGGUUCCGUGGAGUCUGCUGCGCCUUCGCUCCCUGGUCCUCAAAGGUGGCCAGAGCCGGGGUGCCCUGGGUGCCUGCCUCCAUGGAACCCUGACCACUCUGCCUGCUGGCCUGAGUGAUUUGGCCUGCCUGGCUCACCUAGACCUGAGCUUCAACAGGCUGGAGACGCUGCCUACCUGUGUCCCGGAACUGCACGGCCUGGAUGCGUUGCUGCUUUCUCACAACCAUCUCUCAGAGCUGCCCGAGGCCCUGGGGGCACUGCCCGCCCUUACCUUCCUCACCGUGACACACAACCGCCUAGAAAGACUACCCCUAACACUCGGGUCCCUGUCCACCCUUCAGCGUCUCGAUCUCUCUGAGAACCUUCUAGACACCAUACCCUCUGAGAUUGGAAACCUGCGCAGCCUCAGUGAGCUCAAUCUGGCCUCCAACCGGCUGCAGAGUCUCCCAGCUUCCCUCGCGGGGCUGCGGUCCCUGCGGCUCCUUGUUCUGCACAGCAACCUCCUGACCUCAGUGCCCACUGGCCUGGUCCACCUGCCACUGAUCACUCGGCUUGACCUGAGGGACAACCGGCUCCGAGACCUGCCUGCUGAGUUACUAGACGCUCCCUUUGUGCGCCUGCAGGGGAACCCUCUGGGCGAGGCCUCUCCAGCACCCCCAAGUCCCCCAGACAUAUCCCAGGUUCCAGAAAUGCCCAGGCUAUUGCUGACCUCAGAUUUGGACAGCUUCCUUGUGACUCCCCAUGGCUGUUCUGUGACCCUGGCCUGUGGUGUCCGCCUACAGUUUCCAGCAGGAGCCACCACCACGCCUGUCACCAUCCACUAUCGACUCUGGUUGCCCGAGCCAGGCCUGGUCUCUCUGGGACCUCAUGACUUCCUGCUUAGUAGUGUCCUGGAGCUGCAGCCCCAUGGGGUGGCUUUCCAGCAAGAUGUGAGCUUAUGGCUGCUCUUUGUCCCUCCACGAGUCCGUCGCUGUCGUGAGGUAGUUGUGAGGACACGGAGUAACAACACCUGGAAUGACCUAGAGACCCAACUGGAGGAAGAGGCACCCAAGAGGCUCUGGGCUCGCUGCCAGGUGCCCCACUUCUCCUGGUUCCUGGUCGUUUUACGCCCAGUAUCCAACACUUGCCUUUUGCCACCAGAGGGAGCACUUCUCUGCUCCUCAGGUCAUCCUGGGGUCAGAGUCACUUUUCCCCCUGGGGUUACAGAAGAGCCUCGGCAAGUCUCCAUGCAGGUAGUGCAUAUGGCUGGACUAGAGCUGAGAACCCUUCUGGAAGAAUCAGAGGCAUCAGUAAGCCCUCUGCUGUGCCUUUCACAGAGCGGCCCCCCCAGCUUCCUACAACCUGUCACUGUGCAGUUGCCCCUGCCUCCUGGCGUUACAGGCUUCAGUCUAGACCGCUCCCACCUGCAUCUGCUCUACCGAACACCCCUGACAACCACCUGGGAUGAUAUCACCACUCAGGUGGCACUGGAAUUCACCCACCUGUAUGCACGCUUCCAGGUCACGCACUUCUCCUGGUACUGGCUCUGGUAUACCACCAAAACCUGUGUGGGGGGCCUGGCCCGGAAGGCCUGGGAACGGCUGCGACUGCACCGUGUGAAUCUCAUUGCACUGCAGAGGCGCCGAGACCCUGAGCAGGUUCUGCUGCAGUGCCUGCCACGGAACAAGAUGCCACCCUGAGUCGGCUGCUGGUUCGCUACCGUGGCCCUGAACCCUCUGAGACUGUGGAGAUGUUUGAGGGUGAGAAGUUCUUUGCAGCCUUUGAGCGGGGCAUUGAUGUAGAUGCAGACCGUCCAGACUGUGUGGAUGGCAGAAUCUGCUUUGUCUUCUAUUCACACCUGAAGAACGUAAAGGAGGUAUACAUCACCACAGCCUUGGACCGGGAAGCUCAGGAUGUUCGAGGACAGGUGUCCUUUUAUCGGGGUUCACUUCCUGUGGAGGUACCUGCAGAGGCAGAGGCUGCCCGGCAGAGGAAGGGUACAGAUGCACUGUGGAUGGCCACCUUGCCCAUCAAGCUACCGAGACUCCGGGGUGCCCAGGGGAGUGGGCAGGGGACUGACUUCUCCUUGAUGCCUCUGAACCUGGGUGAUGCAGAAACUGGAUUCCUGACUCAGAGCAACCUGCUGAGUGUGGCCUCACGCCUAGGUCCUGACUGGCCAGCUGUGGCCCUGCACCUAGGCAUGCCCUACCAUAAGCUACAGCGUAUCCGGCAUGAAUUCAGGGAUGACCUGGAUGGCCAGGUCCGACACAUGCUCUUCUCUUGGGCUGAGCGCCAGACUGGACAGCCUGGAGCUGUGGGACACCUGGUACAGGCCUUGGAACAGAGUGAUCGGCGGGAUGUGGCUGAAGAGGUGCGUGCCAUCUUGGAGCUUGGCCGCCACAAGUACCAGGACAGCAUUCGACGCACAGGGCUGGCCCCUGAGGAUUCUACUCUGCCUGGCACCUCGGCUUCACAGACUCCAGAGUCUGCACAGGCCUAGGCUUACAGACUUAAUUAAGAUAGCUUUAAACUUGACUCGACCAGUGGGCAGAGCCCUAUCCUUCUACCUCACCCGUGUGCUCCAGUGCCCCAGCAUACAAAAACCCACUCACUGUCUAGCCCAAGCUAGCCUCCAACUCACAGUGAGUACAUCUCAGAGAUUGUUUUACAUAAAGGAUAGAGAGCAGGUUGCCCAUACUUGCUACCAUGCCAGGCCCUUCUGCUAAGAUGGGAGCAGAGAAGGCCUGGAGGGAGAGAUGGCUCAGUAGUUAACAACACUAGCUGCUCCUUCAGGGAACCUAGUUUGUUUCCUCUACCUACCUGAUGGCUCAUGACAAUCUGUAACUCCAGUUCUGAAGGGUCAGCCCCUUCCUCUGGCCCCCACAGACACCAGGCACACAUGUGUGCAGACAAGUAUGCAGGCAAAACAUCCAUACAAAUAAAAUAAAAGCUAUUUAUUGUGUGUGUGAGACAGAA
Mus musculus (house mouse) is the source of this 4507-nucleotide RNA transcript. It is a transcript of the gene named p53 induced death domain protein 1, with no coding region annotated. The record is from RefSeq and is marked validated. NCBI's taxonomy places the organism in Eukaryota, Metazoa, Chordata, Mammalia, Rodentia, Muridae. The transcript is spliced from 16 exons.